GUUCACAACAUUUUAUGUAAUUAUGCAGUAGCUUAAAUUUAUAAUUAUAUUUUCUUGUCCUCGAUAUGCAUGAAAUAUUUCCUGCUAGAUGUUAAGCAAACAACAAUCAAUCAAUCAGAAAGUUAUGAUGUGAAUAAAAAAAAAGUAUUUUCUAACUGUAGAUUGGUCCCUCAUAUCAAUAAGAAAUAUUGGCAGCAUCAGCUUAUUUAAAUUUUUUAAGUUAAUUAGAGGCAGAUUAAGGGGAGAGAGGGGGCAAGGGGGCCUAGACCCCUCUUGUGUGGGAAAAAUUAAGUUGAAUAUUGAGGAAAUGACUGAAGCAGUCCCUCUUAGGCAUUCAGUGCCCUGAUGAAAAUUUCUGGAUCUGCCACUGGUAAUUGGAUUUUUCAAAUGGUGAUAGAGAAAGAAUUUGAAUAACAAUAAUUUCAGACCUACAACAUCUCUUUGAUUCUUAACGUAAAUAUAAAAUAUAUAUGGAUCUAUAGAUAGGAUUUUGUAACAUAAAAGACGAACAUGAUUUUUUUUUAAUAAUUCCACAUAUGAAUUUAUAAAGAAAUGGCAAAAAUGAAAACAAAUGUGAUAAUCAGAACGUAUAACUUAAAAUUAAGAAUUUCACAUUUGUGCACUGUGUUUACAACUUAUUCGUUUUUCCUAACUGUACUAGAUGUUUAGGAAAAAUUAUCUUUACUGCAAUGCUUUUGUUUAUUGGCUCUUGUGGUUAAGUUUGAUUGUGAAAAUAUAUGUAACUAUUUUUAGCUGACAUGGUCCAAAGGGCCUGUUUGAACUAUUGCUGUCACAUGGUUCUAUCAUUCAUCACCACAUGCACCUAAAAGAUAUGUUUUCCUCUUGAGUAACUGUUCAGUUUCUACUAAACUUUUAGGAAAUUACUAUAAUUGGUCCUUUUCCACAAUAAAGCCUUACGGACCAAAUAUUGAUAAAUGAUCUUCCCUUGAAAGUUAUCAUAGAACCAAGAUCACUGGUUAUCAUGAUUGCCUUUGUAAUCACAAUAGAGUUUUGAUAUGUAACUCCCUAAAAGGAUCUUUUUUUCUGAAAUCAAAG
RNAcentral lists this long non-coding RNA (1056 nucleotides) under Mytilus galloprovincialis (Mediterranean mussel). Lineage: Eukaryota; Metazoa; Mollusca; Bivalvia; Mytilida; Mytilidae. The record is from RNAcentral.